GUGUGGCCGGAGUUCAUCAAAUUGAUGUUGGUCCUUGGACCGAGAACUUUGUUUUGGCUCCGCCUUACUCAACAAGACAUGUUUUAGAUUGAUUUCAAUUAAAAUAUUGAUCUUAAUUGGUUCGUUGAGAGGCUCCAUGCAGCCAAUAUCCAAUAUUCGAGUCCCUUGGACCAAUUGUUGUUGGAUAUCUCAAGCACGGUUGUCUGGAUGAAAAAGAGGAGCCA
RNAcentral lists this long non-coding RNA (224 nucleotides) under Elaeis guineensis (African oil palm). RNAcentral's name for it is "long non-coding RNA (EGUI_LNC003150)". The record is from RNAcentral. Lineage: Eukaryota; Viridiplantae; Streptophyta; Magnoliopsida; Arecales; Arecaceae.